GGGCCUAUAGCUCAACGGUUAGAGCAGGGGACUCAUAAUCCUUUGGUUGGAGGUUCGAAUCCUCCUGGGCCCACCA
RNAcentral lists this transfer RNA (76 nucleotides) under Stenotrophomonas maltophilia. RNAcentral describes it as "tRNA-Ile". It matches the Rfam family "tRNA". From Rfam's summary of the family: Transfer RNA (tRNA) molecules are approximately 80 nucleotides in length. Their secondary structure includes four short double-helical elements and three loops (D, anti-codon, and T loops). The record is from RNAcentral. Lineage: Bacteria; Pseudomonadati; Pseudomonadota; Gammaproteobacteria; Lysobacterales; Lysobacteraceae. RNAcentral also lists the same sequence under 1 other name.